UACGUAGGUGGCAAGCGUUGUCCGGAUUUAUUGGGCGUAAAGGGAGCGCAGGCGGUGACUUAAGUCUGAUGUGAAAGCCCAUGGCUCAACCGUGGAAGGUCAUUGGAAACUGGGUCACUUGAAUAUAGAAGAGGAAAGUGGAAUUCCAUGUGUAGCGGUGAAAUGCGUAGAUAUAUGGAGGAACACCAGUGGCGAAGGCGACUUUCUGGUCUAUUAUUGACGCUGAGGCUCGAAAGCAUGGGUAGCAAACAGGAUUAGA
This 259-nucleotide ribosomal RNA is filed under the name uncultured prokaryote. RNAcentral describes it as "partial 16S ribosomal RNA". It matches the Rfam family "Bacterial small subunit ribosomal RNA", at positions 524 to 782 of the family's 1533-position model. The record is from RNAcentral.